RNAcentral lists this ribosomal RNA (480 nucleotides) under uncultured bacterium. RNAcentral describes it as "partial 16S ribosomal RNA". It matches the Rfam family "Bacterial small subunit ribosomal RNA", at positions 29 to 507 of the family's 1533-position model. The record is from RNAcentral.
AUGAACGCUGGCGGCGUGCUUAACACAUGCAAGUCGAACGAAGCACUUUAUUUGAUUUCCUUCGGGACUGAUUAUUUUGUGACUGAGUGGCCGACGGGUGAGUAACGCGUGGGUAACCUGCCUUGUACAGGGGGAUAACAGUUGGAAACGGCUGCUAAUACCGCAUAAGCGCACAGCAUCGCAUGAUGCAGUGUGAAAAACUCCGGUGGUAUAAGAUGGACCCGCGUUGGAUUAGCUAGUUGGUGAGGUAACGGCCCACCAAGGCGACGAUCCAUAGCCGACCUGAGAGGGUGACCGGCCACAUUGGGACUGAGACACGGCCCAAACUCCUACGGGAGGCAGCAGUGGGGAAUAUUGCACAAUGGGCGAAAGCCUGAUGCAGCGACGCCGCGUGAGCGAAGAAGUAUUUCGGUAUGUAAAGCUCUAUCAGCAGGGAAGAUAAUGACGGUACCUGACUAAGAAGCACCGGCUAAAUACGUG